GACGAACGCUGGCGGCGUGCCUAAUACAUGCAAGUCGCACGCAGUUGGGACGGGUGAGUAACACGUGGGUAACCUCCCAUCAGAGGGGAUAACACUUGGAAACAGGUGCUAAACCGCUACUGUAGGAUGGACCCGAGGUGCAUGAGCUAGUUGGUGAGGUAACGGCACACCAAGGCCACGAUGCAUAGCGAGUCUGAGAGGGGGAUCGGCCAAACUGGGACUGUGACACGGCCCAGCCUCCUACGGGAGGCAGCAGUAGGGAAUCGUCGGCAAUGGGCGAAAGCCUGACCGAGCAAUGCCGCGUGAGUGAAGAAGGUUUGCGGAUCGUAAAACUCUGUUGUUAGGGAAGCGGUAUAUAACCAGAAAGCCACGGCUAACUACGUGCCAGCAGCCGCGGUAAUUC
This 403-nucleotide ribosomal RNA is filed under the name uncultured bacterium. RNAcentral's name for it is "partial 16S ribosomal RNA". It matches the Rfam family "Bacterial small subunit ribosomal RNA", at positions 28 to 526 of the family's 1533-position model. The record is from RNAcentral.